Mercenaria mercenaria is the source of this 2241-nucleotide RNA transcript. It is a transcript of the gene named T-cell-specific guanine nucleotide triphosphate-binding protein 2-like, with no coding region annotated. The transcript is spliced from 3 exons. Lineage: Eukaryota; Metazoa; Mollusca; Bivalvia; Venerida; Veneridae. The record is from RefSeq and is a predicted model, not a curated record.
UUAACACUCACCAUAUAGAGAACUUUGAUUGACUUAGACAAUGUGUUUACUUAUUUUGCAGUUCUACACCUUCAAACGAAAACGACGUACUAUGGAUGUUUAUCAAUACUGUGAACCCUUCAUUUCGAAUGGCAGUAAUAAUGCGUGACACCAUUCAUCGACAACAGAAAUAGAAAGUACAUCCAACCAGUUCAGAGGAAUAGUUGUUUACAGAUUUUUUUAGCCGAGAUAACCUUUUCGCUAUAUAUAUACUAUGUACAUAAUGGAACAAAAGACCAUGCCAUGUGGCGAUCAUCUCUUUUGACAAACCGUUAGAAUUGAAACAAUUUUUGAAGAGAGUCGCCUAAUGGAAUGAACAUUUAGAGUCCGAUAUGUGUGACUAACAGAGCACAAACAGGUGGAGAAGGGACGUACAGUUUACGGAGAAUGUUUUUUAAAAAACACGUGUGUAAUAUAUCUAUAUUAAAAAGUCUCAUGGAACAAAUUCUUAUCCUGUUUCAGUCAUCACAGCUUGAUUUACUUUAUGGUAAUUUUUACUUUGUUUUUGCCAAAGUGUCAAAUAACAAGAGUCAUGUCGAACCAAAAACAAAAUGUAAAACGAAAAAUAGUAGCCCGUACCAAUGGUCAGGUUUGUCAUGUGUAACUGCCCUUACUGUGAAAAGAGCCUGUUAAGGCCUAUGCUAUUUUGUCAUAAUUAUGUAAAAUUCCUAUGUAAAACUGAAAUUGUCAUAACAAGACGAGAAAUGCACGGGGAUCAAAGAGAAACUAAUAAUAAUGAGAAAAUGUAUCUCCAAGUAAAUUAUAAAGUAUCAAAAACACUCAAAAGCAUGUCCCAACAGUGUACUAGAAGAAAAUGCAUAGAAAUUUUCGGUGCAAGUAUUUGGUACCGUAAGUCUCUCAUAUUUAUACAAUAUAUAUAUUAAUAAAUCCAGGAUAUGUCAGUGUAAAUGAGCUGAGCGUUAGUUUUCUAAGAAAUCGUCGUAAAACUGUAUUACACAAAUCACACGUGCACCGCUUUUUUACAAAAAUAUGUCCGCCAUGUUUUCUUCAGUGAACGAAAUAAAAGUAGUGUUUUACCUUGGAUUUCCUUAUUGUAUAGUACGAUUCACUUUCUAAUCUAAAUAAAGCAUCACUUUUUUUUAUAACAUCCCACCGUCCGAUCUUUCUGAUCACUUAACGAUCACUCACAAUUAUUAAAUAAAUCCAACGUGUCAUCAAAAUUAUCACUUUACACGGCUUCAUGGACAUCACGGCCUACUAACAUUAAAUUUGUAAUCAUGAGCCAACCAAACAAAUGAUGAAAGAUCGGGACUUUUUUAAAGAUAUGUUAUAUUUUCUGCAAUUUUCUGAUAUUCUAACCUUUAAACAAUCGAAUAGUAUGCACAGAAAUAACGAGGAAUUUAUGCAAUAUACCUUUUAGUUUAAAUUUUGGACCUAUCUUUUUCCAGCCCAACAACAGACACGUAUAUGUCACAAACCCGGCUUGUCCUCGAGUAAAAUGUCAGAGGUUACUAGAACAUAAAUACAAUAAAUAAACAAUCGCUUACAAUGUUUUUGUAAGUCAUGUAAGCGCUUACAAUGUUUUUGUAAGUCCUGUAAGAUGAAACGGCUUAUGUUUAUACAUUAGUAGUAUAAGAAAUACCGCUUCUGGAACAAUUUGACCCCACUUGACCCCUUGCCCCUCUUUUAAAAAAUCCAAUGCCGGACAAUUCAAAAAACCGCCUUUGUUUUUUAUUGAACGUAAGUGGACUAAAGCGUCCCCAGAAGUUUUUAGAUUAAAAUAAAGUACUGAAAAAUAUAUAUUUAACUUUAAAAAAUAUAUAUUUAACUUUAAAAAAUAUCUUAAAACCGAUAUUAACUUUAAACACUAUCAUUAAUUCUCUCUGGUGAGAAACCAAUAACCGUCCGCGUCAUUUUUGCCAGCGUGGCAAUUCUCCCUGGCGGUUAUUGAUUUCUCACUAGAGAGAAUUAAUGUUCCUGAUUUUAGUUACUAUAUAAGUUAAGCCGUGUCGAGUUUUAUCCCUUUGAUCAAAUAAAAAGUUUUACCGAAUUAAUCAUAUGUAGGAUUGUUUUACAAUUUCUGCAGGAUAUUAAUGUUAGUUAAUGAAACAUGAAAUAGGAAGUGAUUGUUUAUUCAUUAUGUUUUACAUUGUUUACUCUCAGUGUUUUAUACAAUAAAGCAUAAAUAUUUAUACCAUCUUGUAACAUUUUAAUGAAAAAUAAACAAUAAUAUCCACAGAG